This 492-nucleotide ribosomal RNA is filed under the name uncultured bacterium. RNAcentral describes it as "partial 16S ribosomal RNA". It matches the Rfam family "Bacterial small subunit ribosomal RNA", at positions 29 to 507 of the family's 1533-position model. The record is from RNAcentral.
AGUGAACGCUGGCGGUAGGCCUAACACAUGCAAGUCGAACGGCAGCACAGUAAGAGCUUGCUCUUACGGGUGGCGAGUGGCGGACGGGUGAGGAAUACAUCGGAAUCUACUUUUUCGUGGGGGAUAACGUAGGGAAACUUACGCUAAUACCGCAUACGACCUACGGGUGAAAGCAGGGGAUCUUCGGACCUUGCGCGAUUGAAUGAGCCGAUGUCGGAUUAGCUAGUUGGCGGGGUAAAGGCCCACCGAGGCGACGAUCCGUAGCUGGUCUGAGAGGAUGAUCAGCCACACUGGAACUGAGACACGGUCCAGACUCCUACGGGAGGCAGCAGUGGGGAAUAUUGGACAAUGGGCGCAAGCCUGAUCCAGCCAUACCGCGUGGGUGAAGAAGGCCUUCGGGUUGUAAAGCCCUUUUGUUGGGAAAGAAAAGCAGCAGGUUAAUACCCCGCUGUUCUGACGGUACCCAAAGAAUAAGCGCCGGCUAACUUCGUG